RNAcentral lists this small RNA (137 nucleotides) under Urocitellus parryii (Arctic ground squirrel). RNAcentral's name for it is "SMAD5 antisense RNA 1 conserved region 2 (ENSUPAG00010003232.1)". Lineage: Eukaryota; Metazoa; Chordata; Mammalia; Rodentia; Sciuridae. The record is from RNAcentral.
CCACCUCCUCCUCCUGCUCCUCCCCCCCACCCCCACCCCCUUCUCAGCUGCGGCUAAAACCUGGAGUCUUGGGGAAAAAGGAAAAAAAAAAAAAAAAAAACUCAGCUGUGGAGCUGUCAAACCGGGCAUGCUCAGUA